Molecule: ribosomal RNA, 252 nt
Filed under: uncultured bacterium
Lineage: Bacteria
Description: partial 16S ribosomal RNA
Rfam family: Bacterial small subunit ribosomal RNA
Source: RNAcentral
UUGAACGCUGGCGGCAUGCCUUACACAUGCAAGUCGAACGGUAGAGGGGCAACCCUUGAGAGUGGCGAACGGGUGAGUAAUAUAUCGGAACGUGCCUAGUCGUGGGGGAUAACGCAGCGAAAGCUGCGCUAAUACCGCAUACGAUCUAUGGAUGAAAGCGGGGGAUCGCAAGACCUCGCGCGAUUGGAGCGGCCGAUAUCAGAUUAGGUAGUUGGUGGGGUAAAAGCCCACCAAGCCGACGAUCUGUAGCUG